GCCGCAAAGAAGGGGCCGUAACUCAUGAUCCGGGCCUCCGAUUCCGUUUCCGUCGGGUCCCGCGGGACCAGGGUUCCGGGGGCAUCGAGAUGGGGGGGUAGCCGCGCGGCGGUUUGAACGCCGAAAAAUGAGCAUGUUCGGGGUGCGCUCAGUAGGUUUAGACGGUUUUGGGCGUAUCUCAUGAUCCGAGCAUCCGAUUCCGUUUCCGUCAGGUCCCACGGGACCAGGGGUCCGGGGGCAUCGGGAUGGGGGGGUAGCCGUGCGGCGGUUUGAACGCCGAAAAAUGGGCAUGAUCGGGGCGGUUUAGCCGGUUUGGCCGGUUUCGGCCCGCCGGGGGGCGGUUCAUGCCCCGGGGGGGACCGCGGGGCGGGAUCGGGAGGCGGCGGACGCGUUCGGUGGGGUUCGGGCGGGUGCGGCCGGAUGGGGGGUGGCCCGGGGGGCUAUAGCGCACGUCCUCCGCGUCCGCAAAGAAGGGGCCGUAACUCAUGAUCCGGGCCUCCGAUUCCGUUUCCGUCGGGUCCCGCGGGACCAGGGUUCCGGGGGCAUCGGGAUGGGGGGGUAGCCGCGCGGCGGUUUGAACGCCGAAAAAUGGGCAUGUUCGGGGUGCGCUCAGUAGGUUUAGACGGUUUUGGGCGUAUCUCAUGAUCCGAGCAUCCGAUUCCGUUUCUGUCAGGUCCCACGGGUUCAGGGGUCCGGGGGCAUGGGGAUGGGGGGGUAACCGCGCGGCGGUAUGAACGCCGAAAAACGGGCAUGAUCGGGGAGGUUUUGCCGGUUUGGCCGGUUUCGGCCCGCCGGCGGGCGGUUCAUUCCCCGGGGGGGACCACGGGGCGGGAUCGGGAGGCGGCGGACGCGUUCGGUGGGGUUCGGGCGGGUGCGGCCGGAUGGGGGGUGGCCCGGGGGGCUAUAGCGCACGUCCUCGGGGGCCGCAAAGAANNNNNNNNNNNNNNNNNNNNNNNNNNNNNNNNNNNNNNNNNNNNNNNNNNNNNNNNNNNNNNNNNNNNNNNNNNNNNNNNNNNNNNNNNNNNNNNNNNNNNNNNNNNNNNNNNNNNNNNNNNNNNNNNNNNNNNNNNNNNNNNNNNNNNNNNNNNNNNNNNNNNNNNNNNNNNNNNNNNNNNCCGAUUCCGUUUCCGUCAGGUCCCACGGGACCAGGGGUCCGGGGGCAUCGGGAUGGGGGGGUAGCCGCGCGGCGGUUUGAACGCCGAAAAACGGGCAUGAUCGGGGCGGUUUUGCCGGUUUGGCCGGUUUCGGCCCGCCGGGGGGCGGUUCAUGCCCCGGGGGGGACCGCGGGGCGGGAUCGGGAGGCGGCGGACGCGUUCGGUGGGGUUCGGGCGGGUGCGGCCGGAUGGGGGGUGGCCCGGGGGGCUAUACCGCACGUCCUCGGGGGCCGCAAAGAAGGGGCCGUAACUCAUGAUCCGGGCCUCCGAUUCCGUUUCCGUCGGGUCCCGCGGGACCAGGGUUCCGGGGGCAUCGGGAUGGGGGGGUAGCCGCGCGGCGGUUUGAACGCCGAAAAAUGGGCAUGUUCGGGGUGCGCUCAGUAGGUUUAGACGGUUUUGGGCGUAUCUCAUGAUCCGGGCAUCCGAUUCCGUUUCCGUCAGGUCCCACGGGACCAGGGGUCCGGGGGCAUCGGGAUGGGGGGGUAGCCGCGCGGCGGUUUGAACGCCGAAAAACGGGCAUGAUCGGGGCGGUUUUGCCGGUUUGGCCGGUUUCGGCCCGUCGGGGGGCGGUUCAUGCCCCGGGGGGGACCACGGGGCGGGAUCGGGAGGCGGCGGACGCGUUCGGUGGGGUUCGGGCAGGUGCUGCCGGAUGGGGGGUGGCCCGGGGGGCUAUAGCGCACGUCGUCGGGGGCCGCAAAGAAGGGGCCGUAACAUCAUGAUCCGGGCCUCCGAAUUCCGUUUCCGUACGGGUCCCGCGGGACCAGGGUUCCGGGGGCAUCGGGAUGGGGGGGUAGCCGCGCGGCGGUUUGAACGCCGAAAAAUGGGCAUGUUCGGGGUGCGCUCAGUAGGUUUUGACGGUUUUGGGCGUAUCUCAUGAUCCGGGCAUCCGAUUCCGUUUCCGUCAGGUCCCACGGGACCAGGGGUCCGGGGGCAUCGGGAUGGGGGGGUAGCCGCGCGGCGGUUUGAACGCCGAAAAACGGGCAUGAUCGGGGCGGUUUUGCCGGUUUGGCCGGUUUCGGCCCGCCGGGGGGCGGUUCAUGCCCCGGGGGGGACCGCGGGGCGGGAUCGGGAUGCGGGGGACGCGUUCGGUGGGGUUCGGGCGGGAGCGGCCGGAUGGGGGGUGGCCCGGGGGGCUAUAGCGCACGUCGUCGGGGGCCGCAAAGAAGGGGCCGUAACUCAUGAUCCGGGCCUCCGAUUCCGUUUCCGUCGGGUCCCGCGGGACCAGGGUUCCGGGGGCAUCGGGAUGGGGGGGUAGCCGCGCGGCGGUUUGAACGCCGAAAAAUGGGCAUGUUCGGGGUGCGCUCAGUAGGUUUUGACGGUUUUGGGCGUAUCUCAUGAUCCGGGCAUCCGAUUCCGUUUCCGUCAGGUCCCACGGGACCAGGGGUCCGGGGGCAUCAGGAUGGGGGGGUAGCCGCGCGGCGGUUUGAACGCCGAAAAACGGCCAUGAUCGGGGCGGUUUUGCCGGUUUGGCCGGUUUCGGCCCGCCGGGGGGCGGUUCAUGCCCCGGGGGGGACCGCGGGGCGGGAUCGGGAGGCGGCGGACGCGUUCGGUGGGGUUCGGGCGGGUGCGGCCGGAUGGGGGGUGGCCCGGGGGGCUAUAGCGCACGUCCUCGGGGGCCGCAAAGAAGGGGCCGUAACUCAUGAUCCGGGCCUCCGAUUCCGUUUCCGUCGGGUCCCGUGGGACCAGGGUUCCGGGGGAUCGGGAUGGGGGGGUAGCCGCGCGGCGGUUUGAACGCCGAAAAAUGGGCAUGUUCGGGGUGCGCUCAGUAGGUUUAGACGGUUUUGGGCGUAUCUCAUGAUCCGAGCAUCCGAUUCCGUUUCCGUCAGGUCCCACGGGACCAGGGGUCCGGGGGCAUCGGGAUGGAGGGGUAGCCGUGCGGCGGUUUGAACGCCGAAAAAUGGGCAUGAUCGGGGCGGUUUAGCCGGUUUGGCCGGUUUCGGCCUGCCGGGGGGCGGUUCAUGCCCCGGGGGGGACCGCAGGGCGGGAUCGGGAGGCGGCGGACGCGUUCGGUGGGGUUCGGGCGGGUGCGGCCGGAUGGGGGGUGGCCCGGGGGGCGAUAGCGCACGUCCUCGGGGGCCGCAAAGAAGGGGCCGUAACUCAUGAUCCGGGCCUCCGAUUCCGUUUCCGUCGGGUCCCGCGGGACCAGGGUUCCGGGGGCAUCGGGAUGGGGGGGUAGCCGCGCGGCGGUUUGAACGCCGAAAAAUGGGCAUGUUCGGGGUGCGCUCAGUAGGUUUAGACGGUUUUGGGCGUAUCUCAUGAUCCGAGCAUCCGAUUCCGUUUCCGUCAGGUCCCACGGGACCAGGGGUCCGGGGGCAUCGGGAUGGGGGGGUAGCCGUGCGGCGGUUUUAACGCCGAAAAAUGGGCAUGAUCGGGGCGGUUUAGCCGGUUUGGCCGGUUUCGGCCCGCCGGGGGCCGGUUCAAGCCCCGGGGGGGACCGCGGGGCGGGAUCGGGAGGCGGCGGACGCGUUCGGUGGGGUUCGGGCGGGUGCGGCCGGAUGGGGGGUGGCCCGGGGGGCUAUAGCGCACGUCCUCGGGGGCCGCAAAGAAGGGGCCGUAACUCAUGAUCCGGGCCUCCGAUUCCGUUUCCGUCGGGUCCCGCGGGACCAGGGUUCCGGGGGCAUCGGGAUGGGGGGGUAGCCGCGCGGCGGUUUGAACGCCGAAAAAUGGGAAUGUUCGGGGUGCGCUCAGUAGGUUUAGACGGUUUUGGGCGUAUCUCAUGAUCCGAGCAUCCGAUUCCGUUUCCGUCAGGUCCCACGGGACCAGGGGUCCGGGGGCAUCGGGAUGGGGGGGUAGCCGUGCGGCGGUUUGAACGCCGAAAAAUGGGCAUGAUCGGGGCGGUUUAGCCGGUUUGGCCGGUUUCGGCCCGCCGGGGGGCGGUUCAUGCCCCGGGGGGGACCGCGGGGCGGGAUCGGGAGGCGGCGGACGCGUUCGGUGGGGUUCGGGCGGGUGCGGCCGGAUGGGGGGUGGCCCGGGGGGCUAUAGCGCACGUCCUCGGGGGCCGCAAAGAAGGGGCCGUAACUCAUGAUCCGGGCCUCCGAUUCCGUUUCCGUCGGGUCCCGCGGGACCAGGGUUCCGGUGGCAUCGGGAUGGGGGGGUAGCCGCGCGGCGGUUUGAACGCCGAAAAAUGGGCAUGUUCGGGGUGCGCUCAGUAGGUUUAGACGGUUUUGGGCGUAUCUCAUGAUCCGAGCAUCCGAUUCCGUUUCCGUCAGGUCCCACGGGACCAGGGGUCCGGGGGCAUCGGGAUGGGGGGGUAGCCGUGCGGCGGUUUGAACGCCGAAAAAUGGGCAUGAUCGGGGCGGUUUAGCCGGUUUGGCCGGUUUCGGCCCGCCGGGGGCCGGUUCAUGCCCCGGGGGGGACCGCGGGGCGGGAUCGGGAGGCGGCGGACGCGUUCGGUGGGGUUCGGGCGGGUGCGGCCGGAUGGGGGGUGGCCCGGGGGGCUAUAGCGCACGUCCUCGGGGGCCGCAAAGAAGGGGCCGUAACUCAUGAUCCGGGCCUCCGAUUCCGUUUCCGUCGGGUCCCGCGGGACCAGGGUUCCGGGGGCAUCGGGAUGGGGGGGUAGCCGCGCGGCGGUUUGAACGCCGAAAAAUGGGCAUGUUCGGGGUGCGCUCAGUAGGUUUAGACGGUUUUGGGCGUAUCUCAUGAUCCGAGCAUCCGAUUCCGUUUCCGUCAGGUCCCACGGGACCAGGGGUCCGGGGGCAUCGGGAUGGGGGGGUAGCCGUGCGGCGGUUUGAACGCCGAAAAAUGGGCAUGAUCGGGGCGGUUUAGCCGGUUUGGCCGGUUUCGGCCCGCCGGGGGCCGGUUCAUGCCCCGAAGGGGACCGCGGGGCGGGAUCGGGAGGCGGCGGACGCGUUCGGUGGGGUUCGGGCGGGUGCGGCCGGAUGGGGGGUGGCCCGGGGGGCUAUAGCGCACGUCCUCGGGGGCCGCAAAGAAGGGGCCGUAACUCAUGAUCCGGGCCUCCGAUUCCGUUUCCGUCGGGUCCCGCGGGACCAGGGUUCCGGGGGCGUCGGGAUGGGGGGGUAGCCGCGCGGCGGUUUGAACGCCGAAAAAUGGGCAUGAUCGGGGUGCGCUCAGU
This 5226-nucleotide long non-coding RNA is filed under the name Citrus x clementina. RNAcentral describes it as "Citrus clementina (C. clementina) long non-coding RNA (CCLE_LNC001641)". The record is from RNAcentral. Lineage: Eukaryota; Viridiplantae; Streptophyta; Magnoliopsida; Sapindales; Rutaceae.